Molecule: long non-coding RNA, 3243 nt
Organism: Monodelphis domestica (gray short-tailed opossum)
Lineage: Eukaryota; Metazoa; Chordata; Mammalia; Didelphimorphia; Didelphidae
Source: Ensembl
AUGAAACAGUCGCCCCCUCCCCCUACUGGCCAGCCCCUCCCCCGGGCUCGUGCAGCCGUUAGGACCCUUCCUUCCCUCUCUCGGCCACCGCCUGCCACUGCGUGUGCCCGUCUCCGGUCGGGCCCUGGAAGCCUCAGGGGAGCCUGGGGGAUGCCAGGGCCCGCACUGCGCCUCCUCCUUCUGGUCCUGAAUUUGGCCGCGGCAGCGCCGACUUCGAAACUUCAUCGGGAGGAGCCCAAGCCUGAGUCAGUGGCCGCAUCAGGUCAGCUAAAAAAGGAUCAAAUCAAAUCAGUGAUGACCAAGAAAACUUCUUCUGGACAGCUUCUGCUUGAGUCCUCCGAACAGACAAGCUUUCAGAAAGAUCAUCUAACCUAUAAAUGCCUUUGGAAGAAAGAAGAGUUUGUGGUUCUUAAAAAUGGAAGGGAACUCGAAUUUGAAAUGAGGACAAGUACCUACAAGAACAAAAAACUCCUUUUUCAAAAUAUCAUCUUAAAAAUGCCUCUUUCUCAAGGAAAACAAGCAAACAAUGGAGUCAGAAAAGCAGUCCUGGCUCAAAGAUGUUUGGGAAGUAAAAAAGUAAGCUCAGCUUUAACAAAAACAAGGGUGUUAGCUUUGGCAAGAAAAGGAAAAAGUAUAAAGAAACAAAACAAUCCAAAAACUGAACUACAAAAGCAAUUGGAAAAUGCUCAAAAUCAGAAAAUAGGGGUGUCAACAGAAAUCCCCCUCCAGUUUGCCACAGCAGACUUUGACUUGUUGGCCAGAAGAUGGUGGUGGCCAAAAGGAGCAUUUUUAAAAGCAUCCCCAAAUCUUUUCACAUCAAGAAACAAUCAGGAGAACCAAGGAAAUAGAGAGAAUAAUCCCAAGCCACUAAAGACAUAUGCCCUCCACCCUUUAGAAGCAACAAAAGCGGUACAACAGAGUAUCAGAACGUGGAAACUGUAUAAGCUGAAUGUUGUCUCUAAAGAGCCUUGUAAAUCAGUGAAUUCAAAAAGAGCCCUAGGAGUAGAUGAAGAAGAGCCAAAGAAAGAUGAGAUUAUGCUGACAAUCCUUUGUAGAAAGCUAUUGUCUUUAAACAUUUCAGCAAAUGGUAGCAGUACUUGGAAGGUACAAUCAAGAAAAAUAUUUUUUGGACAUUAUGCAAAAAUAGGUAGAAAGGGUCUUCUGAUCUUGCUAACUUCCAUGAAAACAAGAUCAAUGGUAAUCCGAAAGACCCAAAGAGUUGGAAACAGAGUCAUUUUGUCUGUCACAAAAUGUGUUCACAUUAGUAAUGGCAGGUCUAGAGAACCUUGCAGGAAACAGAAUAGCACAGAUUUAGGAGAUAUCAGUCAAAUUCUUUCAAGAAAUGGAGGUCAAGAAGCUAAGUCAUCAACUUCAGAAAUUAUUCAAGAAAAACUAAAAUUCUUAUCGGCUUUUAAAGCAACAUCAAAAGACAAAGAAUGCAGGAUAAAAAUUUGGUCUGUCUAUGUAAGGCUACCUUUAAAACUUCAUGAACAAAAUGCAAAUACAUUUCAAAGAAAAACUGACAGGCUGGUGUACCAAGAUGGAAGUCAGGGAGACCCAAGAAUUCUUAAUAGAAAACCAGACGUGGUCCCAAGAGCCCCUUACUUGGAUAAUGAGGGGAAGACAUCUCAAUGGAUAAGGUUGGAAGAAAGUAGAGGAAAAAAUUCAUGGAACAGGGCACAACUUCCCUUCAUCGGCUUGCUCUGUAGUCAGCUUUACACUUUUAUUAUCAGAUCACACUCUAAUAUUAUAGUUAUGUCACAAAGGAAAUUGACUGCAUUUAUCAAGACAUUGAUGGCACAACUGCCUGGGAAAAGCCAACCAGCUUUUGCCAAGCUGACUGGAAUGUUGACAGUUCUUAAAGUUACUCUGUCUCCUAAAUCUUCUUUUCAUUUGGAAUCACAAGAGGCCAACUCUAUGUUCCCCAAUGUUCUCUCAGAGGAUUUAAGAUUAAGAAGCAAAAAAUCCAUUGAACCUGAUAAACAUAAUGUGACUGUGACCAACCAUUACCGGAAACUCCUUCAUGACAGUGACCAUUUGCCAUCUGACUUACUGUAUUUCCCUGGAUUUGCUCCUUCAAGAGAGCUAAAUAAGAGACAGAAACGUGAAGCUAAAGGGGGGGCUGAGAUGGUCGCAGUUCCUGUAGGCUUUUUGAACCGUCUUGCAUCCCUUCUUGGAUUUGGGGUCGGUAUUGUUACAGUGGCCUUCAUUUUUCUGUCAGUAGUGCUCUGCAUCCUAUUUUACAAAUGGAGGGAAACAUUUAAGAUUUGCAGAGAUUCACAAAUUGAAACAAAAAGUCACAAGUCAUCCAUCACAUUGGAGCCAAAUGUCCAUGGUAUUUCUCUGUCUCGAUGUUUUCAUACUAGUGGAAUACAGUUCUCAGGUGAUAAAGAAUUCAAACUCCAACCAGUUCUUCAGGAUCGUGGGGAAUUGAGCUUUGUGGUGACAUCCAUAACUUCAGAGACCAGCUCCAGUUGUGAGAACACGGAUAUAAGCCCGACUUCCUUAUCAUCAUCAGACUCUUUUGCUAGCAAAAGCAUAGAAGCUUCUGGGGAAUGGUUUUCUGAUGAAGAAGGCUUCCUUUACUCCUCCUCCUUAAAAGGCCUUAUGGACAGAGUGAAGGUAUACCUUGAGACCAUAGGUGAUGACCAAAACCCUGAAAAAUUCCAGUGUGAUGUGAUAAUCAGUGAGAAUCAAAAUCAACUCCACUUGGAUAAAAAAGAUCAAAAGGAAAUGCAGAUGCCUAACCUAGUCCCUAACCUCUUCGAAGCUUCUUUGAAUAUCCCACAUCCACCAGAAUCAGCACCUCAAAACUCAAAAGUUUCUUUUGAUUUCCAAGGUCCACCAAAAACAUGGGAUGGCCCCUCUCAACUUUCUUCUGGUUUCUCUUGCCAAUCAAAAUCAUGCUUUAAUGCUAAAAAAGCUUCUUCUGGCCUCUCCUAUCCACCAGAAUCAAGAGCUAAUGCCUCAGAAGCUUCCUCUGACCACUUGCAUCUACCAUAAUCACGCAAAACAUAAAUGGAUAUUCCCAUUUCUAAGACUAAGUAGGUCUAGACCAAUUAAGAGCUCCUUGUCGUCUGCGGCUCAAAAUGAACCCUCUGAAAAGAAUUAAACAGAGCCUCCUUACCCUGGCCUAUAAGUCUAAGACAAGAUCAUACAACCUAGAACCAUGCCUCCAAUGUACAGGAUAAGCAUACCAGCACAGAUUUAGCUUAUUUGUGAAUAAACUAUAUUUAACUACCA